GUGCUUGCUGUGGCAGCACAUGUACUAAAAAGGAAAAUACAUAGAAGAUUAGCAUGGCCCCUGUGCAAGAAUGACAUGCAAAUUCGUGAUGUGUUCCAUAGGUUU
Small nuclear RNA from Psammomys obesus (fat sand rat), 105 nucleotides. The record is from RefSeq and is a predicted model, not a curated record. NCBI's taxonomy places the organism in Eukaryota, Metazoa, Chordata, Mammalia, Rodentia, Muridae.